RNAcentral lists this ribosomal RNA (497 nucleotides) under uncultured bacterium. Its description in RNAcentral is "partial 16S ribosomal RNA". It matches the Rfam family "Bacterial small subunit ribosomal RNA", at positions 28 to 507 of the family's 1533-position model. The record is from RNAcentral.
GAUGAACGCUGGCGGCGUGCCUAAUACAUGCAAGUCGAGCGAACAGACGAGGAGCUUGCUCCUCUGACGUUAGCGGCGGACGGGUGAGUAACACGUGGAUAACCUACCUAUAAGACUGGGAUAACUUCGGGAAACCGGAGCUAAUCCCGGAUAAUAUAUUGAACCGCAUUGUUCAAUAGUGAAAGACGGUUUUGCUGUACCUUAUAGAUGGAUCCGCGCCGCAUUAGCUAGUUGGUAAGGUAACGGCUUACCAAGGCAACGAUGCGUAGCCGACCUGAGAGGGGGGUCGGCCACACUGGAACUGAGACACGGUCCAGAGUCCUACGGGAGGCAGCAGUAGGGAAUCUUCCGCAAUGGGCGAAAGCCUGACGGAACAACGCGGCGUGAGUGAUGAAGGUCUUCGGAUCGUAAAACUCUGUUAUGAGGGAAGAACAAAUGUGUAAGUAACUAUGCACGUAUUGACGGUACCUAAUCAGAAAGCCACGGCUAACUACGUG